RNAcentral lists this ribosomal RNA (162 nucleotides) under Euphorbia cedrorum. RNAcentral describes it as "5.8S ribosomal RNA". It matches the Rfam family "5.8S ribosomal RNA". Rfam says of the family: 5.8S ribosomal RNA (5.8S rRNA) is a component of the large subunit of the eukaryotic ribosome. Lineage: Eukaryota; Viridiplantae; Streptophyta; Magnoliopsida; Malpighiales; Euphorbiaceae. The record is from RNAcentral. RNAcentral also lists the same sequence under 1 other name.
AAUGACUCUCGGCAACGGAUAUCUCGGCUCUCGCAUCGAUGAAGAACGCAGCGAAAUGCGAUACUUGGUGUGAAUUGCAGGAUCCCGCGAACCAUCGAGUCUUUGAACGCAAGUUGCGCCCAAAGCCAUCCGGCCGAGGGCACGUCUGCCUGGGUGUCACUC